RNAcentral lists this unclassified non-coding RNA (74 nucleotides) under Mesorhizobium sp. YR577. Its description in RNAcentral is "suhB". Lineage: Bacteria; Pseudomonadati; Pseudomonadota; Alphaproteobacteria; Hyphomicrobiales; Phyllobacteriaceae. The record is from RNAcentral.
GUGUGUUCCCCUCUGGAGGUUUUAAACCUUCAAUUCGCCGGGCCGUAUUCGAGCCCGGCUUUCUUUUGCCUUGA